RNAcentral lists this non-coding RNA (48 nucleotides) under Schistosoma mansoni. The record is from RNAcentral. Lineage: Eukaryota; Metazoa; Platyhelminthes; Trematoda; Strigeidida; Schistosomatidae.
AUCCAUCUGACGAGUCCCAAAUAAGACGAAGUGUCGCGUUUCCUGGAU